Molecule: small nuclear RNA, 163 nt
Filed under: Callithrix jacchus (white-tufted-ear marmoset)
Lineage: Eukaryota; Metazoa; Chordata; Mammalia; Primates; Cebidae
Description: U1 spliceosomal RNA
Rfam family: U1 spliceosomal RNA
About the family: U1 is a small nuclear RNA (snRNA) component of the spliceosome (involved in pre-mRNA splicing). Its 5' end forms complementary base pairs with the 5' splice junction, thus defining the 5' donor site of an intron. There are significant differences in sequence and secondary structure between metazoan and yeast U1 snRNAs, the latter being much longer (568 nucleotides as compared to 164 nucleotides in human).
Source: Rfam by way of RNAcentral
AUACUUACCUGGCAGGGGAGAUACCGUGAUCACGAAGGUGGUUUUCCCAGGGCGAGGCUUAUCCAUUGCACUCCGGAUGUGCUGACCCCUGCAAUUUCCCCAAAUGUGGGAAACUUGACAGCAUAAUUUGUGGUAGUGGGGACUGCGUUCGUGCUUUCCCCUG